Molecule: ribosomal RNA, 497 nt
Filed under: uncultured bacterium
Lineage: Bacteria
Description: partial 16S ribosomal RNA
Rfam family: Bacterial small subunit ribosomal RNA
Source: RNAcentral
GACGAACGCUGGCGGCGUGCCUAAUACAUGCAAGUUGAGCGAUGAAGAUUGGUGCUUGCACCAAUUUGAAGAGCAGCGAACGGGUGAGUAACGCGUGGGGAAUCUGCCUUUGAGCGGGGGACAACAUUUGGAAACGAAUGCUAAUACCGCAUAACAACUUUAAACAUAAGUUUUAAGUUUGAAAGAUGCAAUUGCAUCACUCAAAGAUGAUCCCGCGUUGUAUUAGCUAGUUGGUGAGGUAAAGGCUCACCAAGGCGAUGAUACAUAGCCGACCUGAGAGGGUGAGCGGCCACAUUGGGACUGAGACACGGCCCAAACUCCUACGGGAGGCAGCAGUAGGGAAUCUUCGGCAAUGGACGAAAGUCUGACCGAGCAACGCCGCGUGAGUGAAGAAGGUUUUCAGAUCGUAAAACUCUGUUGGUAGAGAAGAACGUUGGUGAGAGUGGAAAGCUCAUCAAGUGACGGUAACUACCCAGAAAGGGACGGCUAACUACGUG